This is a long non-coding RNA of Helicoverpa zea (corn earworm), 524 nucleotides long. RefSeq lists it as uncharacterized. The record is from RefSeq and is a predicted model, not a curated record. NCBI's taxonomy places the organism in Eukaryota, Metazoa, Arthropoda, Insecta, Lepidoptera, Noctuidae. The transcript is spliced from 2 exons.
GUAUUUACACGUGGCUUUCAAUGCGUCGCUCGUGAUCUUUCUGUGUAUGUUCACCGAUUACUGAACAAAAUAAAAAAAAUUGUUUUGUAUUAUAUUAUUAUAUAUAAUAGUAUUAGGUGGUCUCAUAGUCAUCAAGCCAGGAUCUGGGGUGCGAUUCACUAAGGCAAAACAUCUUUACAACCAAGAAAUCAUCGUUGUAACAUCAGAUGAAAACUCGGCGGUAUUCAUUAGUUAAAAUUGCGCGAUCGUAGCGCCUCAACGAUGUUGACGGCGCGUCAUAGAACUAACAUUUGGUGCCAAAUGUAUGAAAAUCGGUAUUCAGCAACACGAAACAUCCUCGCCUGCAACGACAACCUCGCCUUCGCCUUCGAUUUUAUCUGUCAAACCGAAAAGCUUGUAAAUUGUGGAUGUUUUCUUGGAUGAAGGCGAUUAAAAUAUGGCAGUUCGUCUUUCCUGUAUGAUUUUUCGUUGGAAGACACUAAACAUCAUGAUAAUUAAAUAAAUAAGAAGUCAGGCCUCCGUGA